UACGUAGGGACCGAGCGUUGUCCGGAAUCAUUGGGCGUAAAGAGCGUGUAGGCGGCCACUUAAGUCCUGCGUGAAAUCUUGCGGCUCAACCGCAAGCGGUCGUGGGAAACUGGGUGGCUAGAGUGCGGGAGAGGAGAGUGGAAUUCCUGGUGUAGCGGUGGAAUGCGCAGAUAUCAGGAGGAACACCGGUGGCGAAGGCGGGUCUCUGGGCAGUAACUGACGCUGAGGAGCGAAAGCGUGGGGAGCGAACAGG
RNAcentral lists this ribosomal RNA (253 nucleotides) under uncultured bacterium. RNAcentral's name for it is "partial 16S ribosomal RNA". It matches the Rfam family "Bacterial small subunit ribosomal RNA", at positions 524 to 776 of the family's 1533-position model. The record is from RNAcentral.